GGGGGUCGCGGCUGAUUAGCUAGUUGGCGGGGUAAUGGCCCACCAAGGCAGUGAUCAGUAGCCGGCCUGAGAGGGCGCACGGCCACACUGGAACUGAAACACGGUCCAGACUCCUACGGGAGGCAGCAGUGGGGAAUUUUGCGCAAUGGGGGAAACCCUGACGCAGCAACGCCGCGUGGAGGAUGAAGCCCCUUGGGGUGUAAACUCCUUUCGAUCGGGACGAUUAUGACGGUACCGGAUGAAGAAGCACCGGCUAACUCUGUGCCAGCAGCCGCGGUAAUACAGAGGGUGCAAGCGUUGUUCGGAAUUAUUGGGCGUAAAGGGUGCGUAGGCGGUGCGGUAAGUCUUCUGUGAGACCUCCGGGCUUAACUCGGAGCCUGCAGGGGAAACUGCCGUGCUGGAGUAUGGGA
Molecule: ribosomal RNA, 410 nt
Filed under: uncultured soil bacterium
Lineage: Bacteria
Description: bacterial SSU rRNA
Rfam family: Bacterial small subunit ribosomal RNA
Source: RNAcentral